RNAcentral lists this long non-coding RNA (666 nucleotides) under Setaria italica (foxtail millet). Its description in RNAcentral is "long non-coding RNA (SITA_LNC006122)". Lineage: Eukaryota; Viridiplantae; Streptophyta; Magnoliopsida; Poales; Poaceae. The record is from RNAcentral.
AGACUCCCAAUUGUGCAACUGGUGGAAAACAAAGGAGCAACAUCUUUGUUUCACAUAGCAAUUAAGCAAGUUUUUGGAGUGAUUCUUUUGAGGAUUUAGUUUUGUUUAGAUGUAGAAUGGUACUCGCUGAUAAAAUAGAGGCAGAGUUUUACGUUUAAUAGUGUGUAAACCUGUUUCAGUUUACGGACAGCUGCAGCUUGAUAUUGACAGAGAAAACAGACCAGGGUUAGAUGUUGGAGGAAGCCAAAAUGGUCUUGGGAAGUAUGCUCAAUUUGGACAACAGAGCCAUAGAACAGAAGCCGUUUCUCAGCAUGUAGAUAUGAAGCCUGGUGCAAACAAUCUCAAUCUCCUUAUACUGUCGGUGUGCAGUGUGCACCGAGGCAGAUCUCCCCCUACAGUAUGGUGGGCUGUCGGCAUCAAGCGGCUGAGCGGGACCGAGCGAAGAAGACGAUGAACAGAAAGCAACGCUGAAUUGCUGAUGCACCUGGACGCGGUACCAUAGAUUAAUUGGAGUAGCCCAAUAGAUAGACAACAUCCCAACAAGGCAACUGCCCCCAAAGCCUCAAACAUUUUAUGCUGCGUGCUUAUUUGUUUUACCAACAGAGGAUCUUACUGAUUCAUUUCAAAAUUAGCAGGUUGGUUCUUCUUUUAGCUCAUGGAUCUUGG